ACUAAAUAGAUACCCGGUAGUCCACGCCCUAAACGAUGUCCUACUAGUUGUUGGUGGAGUAAAAUCCAUGAGUAAACGCAGCUAAACGCGUGAAGUAGACCGCCUGGGGAGUACGGUCGCAAGAUUAAAACUCAAAGGAAUUGACGGGGCCCGCACAAGCGGUGGAUUAUGUGGAUUAAUUCGAUGCAACGCGAAAAACCUUACCUGGCCUUGACAUGCCACUAACGAAGCAGAGAUGCAUUAGGUGCCCGUAAGGGAAAGUGGACACAGGUGCUGCAUGGCUGUCGUCAGCUCGUGUCGUGAGAUGUUGGGUUAAGUCCCGCAACGAGCGCAACCCUUGCCAUUAAUUGCCAUCAUUUAGUUGGGCACUUUAAUGGGACUGCCGGUGACAAACCGGAGGAAGGUGGGGAUGACGUCAAGUCCUCAUGGCCCUUAUGGCCAGGGCUUCACACGUAAUACAAUGGUCGGUACAGAGAGUUGCCAACCCGCGAGGGGAGCUAA
RNAcentral lists this ribosomal RNA (501 nucleotides) under uncultured bacterium. RNAcentral describes it as "bacterial SSU rRNA". It matches the Rfam family "Bacterial small subunit ribosomal RNA", at positions 772 to 1271 of the family's 1533-position model. The record is from RNAcentral.